CCCUUAGAUGUCCUGGGCGGCACGCGCGCUACAAUGAUGCAUUCAAAAAGUCUUCUGACCUUAGAAGGUUGGGUAUUCUCCAAAGUGCAUCGUGAUGGGAAUAGUUUAUUGCAAUUUUUAAUCUUGAACGAGGAAUUCCUAGUAAGUACAGGUCAUCAACUUGUGUUGAUUACGUCCCUGCCCUUUGUACACACCGCCCGUCGCUCCUACUGAUUGAGUGUCUCGGUGAAUUCUUUGAUCUUCUGUCGAUUCAGUUCACUGAUCCGACGGUGGAAAGUUGAAUGAACUUCGUCACUUAGAGGAAGGAGAAGUCGUAACA
Molecule: ribosomal RNA, 319 nt
Filed under: uncultured eukaryote
Lineage: Eukaryota
Description: partial 18S ribosomal RNA
Rfam family: Eukaryotic small subunit ribosomal RNA
Source: RNAcentral